RNAcentral lists this long non-coding RNA (14691 nucleotides) under Citrus x clementina. Its description in RNAcentral is "Citrus clementina (C. clementina) long non-coding RNA (CCLE_LNC002393)". Lineage: Eukaryota; Viridiplantae; Streptophyta; Magnoliopsida; Sapindales; Rutaceae. The record is from RNAcentral.
UCAGACUUGGGGGAAAUUGGUAUUCAGACAGGACCAUCCGUGAGGGCUUGCUCUCAUUCACCAGCUUCAAGCAUUCAAGUUUGUGGAGUUCGCAAAGGCUUUUGGAAACCCCAGAUUGAUAGUAACUCAAAUCUCCAGAUAUCCGAAGAGUCUGAACACUAGGUAGUCUGCCCAAUAUAUCAGGAGUACAACUACUAGGGUUUAAAGCUGAUAUGAAAAUGAGAUUUUUCAGAGAGCUAGAAUAAUUUUUUGGAGGUGCGGGCAGAGUGAUAGAACCAAAGUUUAGAUGCAUGAGUUUUUGCAUCAUCCAAAUAUCCUCUGGUGACUGAUCUAUGUAGCUAGAUGGCAUUUCUAGUGUUUCAAGGUUUAAAAGGGUGCAUAGCAGUGAAGGAAGGCAUUUGAGCGAAGGGAUAUUCAAUUUCAAAUACUUCAAAAGAUAUAAAUUUUCUAAUCCGGGUGGAUAUUGGUCCAGGACUGCAGAACCCAUGUUCAAUACCCGAAGGUGUUUGAACUUUUUACAAAAAUUCUCGCAAUCUAUCAGAGCGAGAUGAUCGCUUGCCGAACUGUGAUUCAGAAAAGAUUGGAGAUACAUGUCAGAAUGUUCUAAAGAUAAAAACCCAGUCAGAUCUUCGGCAAUGACGCACCGUUUAACAUUUGCCACUCGCUCCUCUUCCCUGUCAUGCACCAAGACAAAUCCGGCCUUCUCUGCCACAAAAUACAAUGAAGUAUAUACAAAACUUGGAACAUAACACGCUUUAAUUGUGGCUCCGGCGCUUCUCUUACUCACUUGAAUGAAGCCGCGAUGGAUUAGUUCUUUCAAGUAAUGUUCGGCAGUUUCUUCACCGUUGUAUGGUAUGAAACCUUCAGCUACCCACAACUGAUAUAAUUGCUCCGUAGAUAUCUCAAUACUUGGAAGGAAGACACACAAAUAGAUGAAGCAGACUUUCAAGUAAAAAGGUAACUCCAUCACAGAAAAAAUUUGUCUCCAAACUGUCGGAAUCGCUUCGCCUUGAAGAUAAUUUUCUAAUGGCAUACUUCCAUAGUGUAGGAUGAAAAAUUGCCACGCUUCAUGCUUUAAUCUGAUCAAUGGUCCUCCAAAGAGCACUGAAUCACGCCGAAUCUUCUCUCCGUUUUCCAUUUCCAACGACGCAAGGAGCUGUGGAUCACUGACCAACAUCAAUACUCUGCUUCCAUUCUGAUUAUCAGGAAGAACUUCUUCAAGAUCACUCCAUAUCUCACUGUCAUCGAAGACAUCAUCAAGCACAAUAAAGUACUUCCUGUUUGUUAGGUAAUCUCGAAGAAUAGAUUUCUUCAAUUGAUAAUCUUCCCCGAUAAUUACACUAACCCGAGAUGGAGGCAUCACCGACUUGAUUAUGUCAUCCAAUAUCUUGCCAAAAACGUAGGUUAUAGAAACCCUGACCCAAGCAAGACAGUCAAAAUAGAACUUGACGUGGUUAUUAUUGUAAGUAUCUGCAGCAAAAACAGUCUUGUCGAAGCCACUGCUGUCGAGAAUUGCAACCACUGCAAGCCCAGAUGGUCCCUCAAUCAAUAGAUCAAACAACUCCUCCCUGCCCCUUUCAAAUUCAUUGAUAUCAAGCCGAGGUUGUCCCUCACUCAAUAGGCGAAUGAUUUCGUUACUUUUUUCACUGAUAUCAAAACCAUUGUCGCCGGGUGGAAGUUGUUGCAUCCGAUUUCUAAUAUCAAUGAUUUUAGUGUGGAGUCCAACAAGAAGAGCCAUAAUGAUGUUGAUGAUUUCGUUACUUUCACUUUCGUUUUCACUGUUUUGCUGCUGCAUGAUGUUGAUGAAGAAUGUGUCAAUGACUUCCUCAGAGUCACGGACAAAGUUAUUGAUGUCCUUCAGAAUUUCAAAAAUAUCUGCUGUUUCAACGUCUUCUUCAUCGCUUUCUUCUAAGUCCAACAGUUGCAAAAAAGGCAAAGAUAUUUUGGAGUCAUCGAAUUCUUCUCUAAUGAGUUGAAACAAAUGCCGAGCCAUGUCAGCUUCAUAAUUUCCCAGCAGAGUAGUAGCAAUAAUUUCGGACUCCGUAAGAAGGUUUUGAAAAAGUGGAGUUAAAUUUGUUGAAUCUGGCAGCGGCAACGUGCCUUCUUCACCUGCUAACACCCUUUUCAACCUCUCACAAAACAGUCGGAGGUGGAAUUCCAGCAUAUCUCCUUCUCUCUGUAGCAGCCAGAGGUAUUGUUUUUUGCUCCAAGAAAUAUUAAAAGGAUUGGUUCUAUCCUCAAGUGGUUACUGGUGUAAAAUUAAACGCCAUGGGAGAAUUUGAAAGGAAGAUGCCAAGGAACUGGCGAAGUGGCUAAAUUCCACAAAUACGGCAUUAUUGCUCAUUUUUAACUCAAAAAAUUGAUACGCGUUCAUUUAGAGAAAAGUCCAAGACGCGUGCUUUUUGAAAAGAACAGGUAUCCCAAUCGGUAUCCAACCUUUAUCUUAUUUAAUUACUACCAUGACAUAAUUGAUGGUGCUUAAAUCAAUUGUUUCUUUUUUAAUUUAAAGAAUUUUUCAUUAAAAAAUAUUUUAAUAUCAAAUUGCCUUCAGUGGCGUAACAACUGCCUCAAGCCCAGUAACAGGACUAAUUAAAAAUUUUACAAUUUUGGGGCAUGGAAAUAGUAGUAUUAAACAUUAGAAAGGUGAGGUUGUUCUGUUAAAGAAUUGAUAUUGACAUAAUUUUAUUUUGGUUUUCGUGGAAAAAAAAAAUUUGUUGACAAACAAGAAAAUAUUUUUAUAUUUUAAAAUUUAUUAUGCAUAUUUUAUCAUAUUAAAGUAGUUUUAAUAGUAAAUAGAAACAUAAUAUUACGAUAAAUAAAUUAAAAUUUAACUUAUUUUGAAUAUUAUAAAAAAUAAUUUUAAUAUUAUUAAUAGGAAGACAUUGUAUUAAUUUAAAAAUUUUUUAACCCAAAGGUUUAUUUAAAAUCUUUAUUAUAAAUACAAAUAUAAAAUUAAAUAUCAUAAUUUAAAAUUUUUAAUAUUAUUUUAAGUAUGAAAAAUAUUUUAAUAUUAUUAGUCUAGAUCAUAUUACUUAUAUAAUAUUUGUAUUAUUAAAAAUGCUUUAAAAAAGACCUUGUUGUUACUUUUUAAAAAAUUGAGGGCCUGCUUGAUAAUUUUUUCAAAAAGAAAAUGCUUGGUAUAUAGGAGGGGUAGAGAAACAGGACUCCCAAAAUCUCUCACCCUUUUGUAAUUUAAAAAGAAUUAAAAUAUCAAUAAAAAAUAAUAAAGAAAAUAGAAUUUUAUCUGCUCCUUACUCCAUUUUUGCAACUCUCUCACCAUCUCUGUCGAGCAGCCCUCUCUCUCAUUGUCUCUCACUAUUUCAGGAUCUCUCUCUCACUCACACAAUCCUUUCCACGAUUUGAAAUUCUUUGGCCUUCUGCAACUCUUACAAGAAAUUAACGCUUUGGUUCUCCCAAGGGUAGAUUGGUUUUAUUGGGAAGCUAUUAAUUAGAAGGAGGAAAAAGGACUAUAUUUAGAAUAUGAUUUGUUGGAGAAUCUCAAAGUUAAUCAAUUUUCAAGCCACACUUUCAAUAGCCAAUUGAUUUAGUAACCAUUAAUUACUUUAAUUUCCAUAAAUUGUAAUGACAGUGCAAAUGCAUCUGGUUGUGAUAGCUAAGGGUUAGCUUGAAGAAUUAAAUUUCAUAAGAUAUUACUGGAAAAUGCUUUGCAGCUAACGUGCUGCUUCCUUUGCUAGACUACAAUUUCAAAAUUCUCACGAGUUUUCCAUUGUUGUCACAAACCGAGAAAUUAUAAAAUACAUGGCCUGGUUCUUUGGCAAUGACCAUCUCAUCGUCGGCGGUCGUGUCGUCAUUGUCACUGGUCUUGCUCGACCGAGACAGUGAGAGAGAGGUUUGUUAGAUGGAGUUAGUGAGAGAGAGUUGUAAAGAUGGAAUGAUGAUAAAGGAUUCUAUUUUUUUUAUUGUUUUUUAUUAAUAUUUCAACAGGUCUUAGUAUAUAUAUAUAUGAUUGUAAAUAUCAGUUAUACUCAUGUAAUAUGAGUUGUAAUUUGAGCAAUAGUCUCAUGUUAUCAAAAAAAAAAAAUCAAAAAGCAAAGGUUGUUAUGUCGAAGAAUUGAUGUCAACAAAAUUUUAUUUUAGUUUUCGGAAAAAACAAAACAAAAAUAAAAUUUUUGUUGACAAGCAAGAAAAUGUUUUUUAUACUUUACAAUCUGCUAUACAUAUUUUAUCAUAUUAAAGUAAUUUUAAUAAUAUAUGGAAACAUAAUAUUAUAAUAAAUAAAUUAAAAUUACUUUGAAUUAUUGAAUAUUACAAAAAGAUAAUUUUAAUAUUAUUAAUAGGAAAACAUAUUUUAUUUGUAAAAUCUUUUUAAUACACAAAUUCAUUUAAAAUCUUUAUAAUAAAUACAAAUAUAAAUUAAAAAAUAUCAUAAUUUAAAUUUUUUAAUAGUAUUUAAAUAUUAAAAAUACUUUAAUAUUAUUAAUCUACUACAUCAAAUAUAUUAUUUAUAUUAUAUUCGUAUUGAUUAAAACGUUUUAAAGUCAAAUUUUUAAUUAGUGUAUUCAAAGGUACAAAAGAUUUUAGUAUUAUUUUUUAAAAAUUUCAGGAUAUGAAUGAUAAUUUUUUCAAAUUUUAAAGAUGUAAAAAUCUUUUUUUCUGAUAAUUUAUUUCACUUUUGAGAGAAUCCGAAAACGUUAAUUUAACAUUCUUUACCUUUGUGAAAAAAGUGAAAAUCAAGAACUAUUCAAUUUUGUUUUUAUUUGUAAUUCAAAAACUUUAUUCAUUUUCGAUGCUUUUCAAAAGAGAUUCCUUUAAAUCCUUUUGAUGUCUGCAGCUCCUGCUAUUCUCAUAAAUCUCCAUCCCACAUCUACACUAUCAAACUAGUUGAUGGAAAUUCUUAUAAAAAAAAAAAAAAAGUCGAUGGAAAUUGAUCAAUUGCUUUUUGAAAUGGACCCAUUGAGUCAUGUUCAUUUCUGGUCAUAUAAAUUUCUUUACCUUACAGUUUAUACGGUCUUGCUGUUAAUGAAUUCGCUGAGGCAUUAUUGAUCCAAUCUGAGUGAAGUAAUUGUGGGUGAAAAAUAAAUAAAGGAUAGCAGAACGUAGCUGAAGUGCUGAAGGGGCUAUUAAAGAAGAGUGUCACUCGAUCACAAUCACAUUGAUGCACAACUCACUCGUGGCAAAUUCCGACUAUACGUACUGCAAAUUCAGCCAAACCAUACAUGCAUGAACAAAACAUCUUCUCUAAACUAAAAAGCCCACAUCUCUAAAAUCAAUCUACAUAAUGUUGGAGAUGAGGGGUGAAUUGUUAACUCAGUAAAAAAAAAAAAACUCAUGCAUAAGAUUACUAAUAAUAUAAAUUAUAUAUUAAUCAUUAUGAAGAAUCAUAAAUUAGAAAAAUUAAUCAUUUUAUAAUUUAUUACACAAGUAAGAUAAAUCUUAUAAUAAGUUAUAACAUAAAAAAACGUUAUCAAUAAAUAAUCAUUUAAGAAGUCAUUUAACAAUAAAAUCGUUCUUUGAUCAGUUGGUCAUGUCACAUAGUAUCAUCUAUAUUUAUGGUGAUAAUAUUAUUACUUGGUAUUAUCAAAAAACAUGAUUUAACAUUUUAGAGGAAAUUCUUGCCUUUUAAAAAAAACAUGUAUGCAACAGCUACCCAUGCUUGAUCUUACAAAUGAACAAAUAAUUUUUCUCAAUGAAAAGAAUUUUUUUUUUAAAUUGAUUUAAUUGCACCAAUUAUGAUGAUUUUUUGCCAAAAAAUUAUUUUUUGGAAAACAUAGUGAGAGAAAAUUAGUGACGAUUAUUUGUUUAGAUUGUAUAAAUAGCUCAAACAUAAUCCCUUAAUAACCNNNNNNNNNNNNNNNNNNNNNNNNNNNNNNNNNNNNNNNNNNNNNNNNNNNNNNNNNNNNNNNNNNNNNNNNNNNNNNNNNNNNNNNNNNNNNNNNNNNNAGGGAGAUCGUCGGGGACAAUCUGAACGGCCGACGCCGAUGAAAUGGAAGGGUUUACCAGAGGAGUGGAUGCGAAGAGUGCAGGGACGGCCGCAGAGAGAGAGCGGCGGAGAGCGGCGACGGACGGUAGUCGGUAUGGGCCAUUGCUUGCGCGUCGGUAAUUGUCUCGAGUGAGAGAGUGAAGGGUUUUGUUUAGGGUUUUGGGAAAUGAAAAAUGCAAAUGUUUGAUUUUGUUGCUAGAAACUUCUUCUGCCGCUGCCUUUUAUUUUCGCUAUAAUAAUAUUAAUAAUUUGUUAAUAAAAUAUUUUCUUAAAAAAGAUAAAUUUCUACGACAAAAUUUAUAUUAAAUCAAAUUGUAAAAAUGUCUAUUAGGGUUAAUUUCUCCUUAAUAUUAUUAUUAGUAGAAGUAGAUUUUCGAAUUAGUCUUGAUAUAUUUCAGAGUUGUAUUAUAAAUGUAUAUGUAUCUGGAUUGCAAUUGUAUUUUUAAAAAAUAUAAUUUUUUUAAUUAUUGCACAAUAAAUGUAGAAAGUGUCUAUAAAAUAAUAUUAUUAGAACUAUGAAAAGAUAUUAUUUUAGAGUAGUUAUUUAUUUAUUUUUGAAUAAAUAAUUUAUUAAUUUAUUGAUAAAUUAAUAUUUAUUAAUUUAAAGAGAGAUUUUUUUUUUGUGGGUUUUAAGAAGAGUUUUGUUGGUAUAUGUAUAAACUUAUAAAGAAAUACAAAAAAUGCUUCCUCAAGUCAAUAAUAUUUACUUUAAUUCAUAAUAAUAUAGUUUAAUCAAGAAACUUGUAAUUAUACUAUAUCUUUCUUUCUUUGUUCAGUUUGGUGGGACAUUGUGAUAAAUCAUUGGAUUAAAAUGCAUUUGUAAAUGAAAACUUGUUAAAACCUAAUUUAUUUGGGAAAAACAUAUUAUUUACUCUUUUUUUUUCCCGCUCUCUGACAAUUGAGGUAUGGGUCAAGCUUGAAAGUAUCUUAAAAUCAGACAACAAUUUAACGAUUUUUUGUUUUUAGAUAACUGCUGGUAUGCUCUACAAUGAUAAGUGAUAACCUAGGUGUUUGCAUUAAUUAUGAUUCAACAAUUUAAAAAAUGAAAACAUAUGGAAGACGGCCGCAAUUAAAUUUAUUGUAUGAAAAUAUUUCAAUGAAAUUUUAAAAAUUUAGUACUUGUUAUCUUAUCGAGAGUUUUUAAUUAUAUUACUACUUGAACUUGACUGCUUUUGUAUUGAAUUCCUAGCGUUGCCAUUGCUUCUACUCAAAAGCCAUUUAAGUUUGUGUAAGCUACCUGUAGUUUGAACAACAAUUUUCUAGAUGAAUUUUUUCCUACAUGCUUGUUCUCGUAUGACCCAAAAUCCUGCUACAUCAGUUGUAUUAGAAAUUAAUCAACUGGGUUACAAUUAUGCAUCCCCACCAAUAUUCAAGCAAUCUACAGAAACAUUUCUUGAGGAAAGAAACUCAUAUCGCCACUAGGCUUUUAAUGAGGCUCAUUUUUAUGAAUCUGGAUGGCAUUAGAUAUCUCUCCGAAUAUUGGUGGGAGUAUAUCGCUGAUCUCUGGGCUAUACUACAAAGUGUAUGUACGUUGACUCUCAAUAAAUACAAACGAUUCUCUGAUCUGAUUCAAAACAUCAGUACAUGCAUCAUUUUAAUGAGAAAGAAUAUUCUAAGAACGAAAUUGAAGGUGCAAUCAGCAGCUAAAAUGAAGCCAGAAAUGUACACGCAUGAGGAACUUUUCCUAGAAGAUUGAUAUUUCUUUAACUAGCAAACCAUAUAAGUCCAAAGCUAACCAAACCAUACCUGCAAGUCCGGGGCUUAAAUGGAGUACUUGUAAGCAUAAAACAUUAAUCAAAACACAGUAUAGACACACACACACACCCCUACAUACAUACCAGCAAAUUCGGAAUAGAAAAAGGAGUGCAACUAUUCAAGUUUGCAGACAAUAUUGCAACCAUGGCAUAUUAAAGCAAAUCCUUGAAAUCAGCUAAACAAAACAAUGCCCUGUCUCAUGAAUCGAUGCUCAAUUAAAAUUGCAAUUGAAAGUCCGGCUGGUGUUGUUUCCCUCCCCAGUUUUGCCUACAUAAGUAAACGGAAAUAAGAAUCAUAAAUGAAAAUCUACUUUGACAGUUCUUAUUAGAUAGAUAUAAAAAGAUCUUUCUUUGUUUCUCUGCUGUAAUUUGUAGACAUGUUCCUAUUGUGCAUAAUUUACAUUAUAGGCAAAUAUUCUUAUACCAUCAUAGGCAAAACAUGACACUAACAAUUGAAGGUUUUAUGACCUCCUUGAAGGUUUUACGAUAAACAUAAAUCUACUGAGAAAGUGGGAAAAAAAAGAAAAUGCAUAUAAAAAUAUGAGUUAUCAGAUAAGAUUGAAACUCACCCAAUUCAAUCCAUCAGAUUCCGCAAGGAUAUAACUGGAUGUCAUACCGCCACUCCAUAUCCUCGAAAGUCCGUAGUCCUUGUCUCAACUGUGUCUGGGGCCAGUGUAAGUCCAAUUUGCGCAAGCUCUUUAUGCACCACAGCUCUUCUGGAAGCUUUCUCAAGUAAGCACAUGGGUUGACAAUUAAGCUUUCAAGUUUCGGCAUUGCUCCAGCCCCCAUCGUCCACUCAUCUAGCCAAUACAUUGAUUUCAGGUGCAAAACCUUAAGUUCGGGAAAGCUACUCAAGCCAACACAAGCAAGCUUUCUUCCUAAAUACGAGUUCUGCUUCAGUUUCAGCACUCGAAGGAGUGGAAGAUUUUCCAGAAUUGGCAUGGGAUCCUGUUGUGAAUUUGGCUUUGUUACGACUAACCAAAUUCUCCCCAAGACACUAAUUUUGUAUCAAAUGGUUUGAGAAUUAACAGCACAGAUUAUGCAGUAACAAAUCACACGCAAGAACCAAAGCAUUAAAGAAACAAAGUGACACCAAGUAUAAGUGGUUCAGCACCAAGAUGUGGUGCCUACAUCCACUGGAAACAAAGCAACAGUCUUUCACUAUUUAGUUCACAAAACAAUACAAUAAUAGGAAUUUAUUUACAGAGAACAAGAACUUGUAAACCCCUUUCUCUCUCUAUCUUCUCUCUACUCUCUGUGUUUCCCAAUUCAUGUGUAGACGAUGACAGAGCCUGCACUUUUAACCUCUGUUUCUGGGUUGUUACAUUAACUACCCUUCCCGCCAAAACUAACCAAGAAGCUCCUCUCUCACGUGCUUGUCACAAGUUGGCAUAAGUGAGCUUGAAACGGCAAUCACAGAUGUCGUUCUUGAGCUAACGAGAUUUCAGCUUCACUACACGUGCAAACCACGUGUAUUACUUAAAGGUUGAAUGACCAAAGAGAGGAUGUCGGUUUUACUCUGAAGAACUCCUCAAGCGACAAGUCGGCUGAGACUAACUCCUCUAAACGACUUGUAGCACUUGAGUUUCGAGUUCACUGUUUAUCAAUCUCCACCUUGAACUCAGAACUCUAGCUACUCAUGUUUACUUCAUUCUCUUCCAUUUGCAGCUAAUCAGAAGCUGCAAAUCCCUACUAAGCUCAAACAGAAGUUGAGCUUGGCAGAUGGCAUAGCUUUAGUCAACAUAUCAGCUGGAUUUUGAUCAGUGUGAACCUUGAGCAUCUUCACAAUUCCCUUGGAAACUUCAAGUCUAACAAAAUGCAGCUUUACAUCGAUAUGUUUUGUUCUUUCGUGAUGGGUCUGGUUUUUACUCAAAUGUAUUGCACUCUGGCUAUCACAAUAUACUUCAACUGUUUCUUGUUUUGCUCCUAACUCAGAGACCAUUCCUUUUAACCAGAUGGCUUCCUUAAAAGCUUCUGCAGCUGCUGUAUAUUCGGCUUCAGUUGUGGACAAAGCUACCACACUUUGCAGUGUAGCUUUCCAAUUCACAGUGCAGCCUCCCAAAGUGAAUAUAAAACCUGUCUGAGACCUCAUUUUAUCAAGAUCUCCAGCGAAAUCUGAGUCAACAUACCCCACCAGCUUGUGCCCUUCCUGUUUUAACCCUCCAUAUAGCAGACCAAACUCCAUAGUGCCUUUCAGGUACCUCAUUAUCCAUUGGACUGCCCUCCAAUGUUCAUAACCUGGAUUUGCCAUGAAUCUACUCACUACACUCACAACAUGUGAGAUAUCAGGUCUAGUGAGAACCAUGGCAUACAUUAGAUUCCCAACUGCACUGGAGUAAGGUAUCCUUGCCAUUUUUCCUUGCUCUGCAUCAGUUUGUGGACACUGUGCAGCAGACAGCUUGAAGUGAUUUGCCAAAGGUGUUUGAACAGACUUAGAUUCAUGCAUCCCAAACCUAAGUAACACCUUUUUAACAUAGCCCUGUUGGGUUAGAAACAUAAGCUUCCUUCUCCUGUCUCUGAUAAUUUCCAUACCUAAGAUCUUCCUUGCAGCUCCAAGAUCUUUCAUAUCGAAUUCACUGCUCAAGAGGUCCUUUAAAUGACUGAUUUCAUUUAUGCUGUGACAUGCUAUAAGCAUGUCAUCCACAUACAGCAUAAGAUAAAUCAUCUUUCCAUCACCAAUGUCCUUAAAGUACACGCAACAAUCAUAAUUGCUUCUCUUAUAGGCAUGUUUUGUCAUGAAACUAUCAAACUUCAAGUACCAUUGCCUAGGAGACUGCUUUAAUCCAUAUAAAGAUUUCUUUAGUAAGCACACAUGAUCUUCCUUGCCAGACACCACAUACCCCUCAGGCUGCUCCAUUACAAUUUCUUCUUGUAAUUCACCAUGCAGAAAGGUUGUUUUAACAUCCAUCUGCUCUAGGUACAAGUCUUGAAUGGCAACUAAAGCUAAGAUGACUCUGAUGGAGGCAUGUUUCACAACUGGAGAGAAGAUUUCAUUGAAAUCAAUCCCCUCUCUUUGUGUGAAACCUCUUGCUACCAGCCUAGCCUUAAACCUACUAGGUUCAGCAUCAAAUAUCCCUUCCUUAAUUUUGAAGAUCCAUUUGCAGCUAACAGUCUUCCUUUUCUCUGGUCUAACUAUCAGUUUCCAAGUUCCAUUUUUCAUUAGUGAUUCAAUUUCCUCAUCCAUAGCCUUCUUCCAUUUCAGCUUAUCCCUGUUGUUUAUAGCUUCUUUAUAGGUUCUUGGCUCUUCUUCAUUUAUCUCUUGUGCAGCUGUUAAUGCAUAAGCUAUCAAAUAUGCUACUGCAUACCUCUUAGGUGGUCUUACAGCUCUCCUCUUUCUAUCCCUGACCAACUGAUAAGAGUUAUUUUCAUUCUCAGCUGGCUCUGACUCCUGAACACCAUCAGAUCCAUCAGCAACCCUUCCUGCAUCUUCUUCAGAUUCUGAUUCAGUCAUAUCUUGCUCAUGGGACUCCACCUGAAACUGAAUACUCCCAGGUUUUAUUUCUGAUCUAUACUCUUUGGAUUCAGUGGCUUUGGAAUUGUUCAAGAUUUCUGACUCAUUGAAAGUUACAUCCCUACUGAUAAUGCAUUUUGGUGGCUUCAGAUCAAUGCACCAUAGCCUAUAGCCUUUAACUCCAUCAGGGUAUCCCAAAAAUCUACACUUUAAGGCUCUUGGCUCCAAUUUGCCUUGUUUGACAUGUGCAUAAGCAACACAGCCAAAGAUUCUUAGUUUAGAGUAAUCAGCAACCCUUCCAGACCAUAGCUCGAUAGGUGUUUUGCAUUCUAUUGCUGUAGAUGGGCUUCUGUUUACCAAGUAGCAUGUUGUGUUUAAGGCCUCUGCCCAGAGUGACUUAGGCAGCUUUGAGUAUAGCAGCAUACACCUCACGUUGUCCAUUAAGGUUCUAUUCAUCCUCUCAGCAAGACCAUUUUGCUGAGGUGUGUGUAUGACUGUUUUGUGCCUCAUAAUCCCAUGUCUUUCACAGAAGUCCCCAAACUCUUUAUUGCAGAAUUCCAUUCCAUUAUCUAUUCUUAGAGCUUUUACUUUCAAACUUGUUUGUGUUUCUACCAGAAUUUUCCAUCUCUUGAACCUUUCCAAAACUUCAUCUUUGGUUUUGAGUACAUACACCCAAACCAUCCUUGAAUAGUCAUCUAUUAGGGAUAAGAAAUACCUACAGCCACCAAGGGAAUCUACCUGUGCAGGUCCCCACAGAUCAGAGUGUAUAUAUGCAAGCCUCUCUUUGGUAGAAUGAACUGCAGAUUCAAACUUGAGCCUGGAAGCCUUCCCUAGAAUACAGUCUUCACAGAACCCCAAAGAACUUAGCUUGUCACUUCCAAACACCCCCUUCUUUUGAAGCUCCUUCAGUCCUCUCUCCCUCAUGUGCCCCAACCUCAAGUGCCAUAGUUUUGCUUUAUCUUCACUCUUCUCAGUGACACUUGCCUCUCCAACAGUUGUAUGUCCAUUAAGCACAUACAAACCAUUUUGCUUGGUACCUUUCAUUAUGACUAUUGAGCCUCUGAUAACUUUUAAUGUCCCAUUUUCAGCCUUAAUGACACAUCCAGUUUGAUCAAGCAUGCCAAUAGAUAUUAGGUUCCUUUUGAGUUCAGGAACAUGCCUAACCUGAGUCAGUUCUCUAACCAUGCCAUCAUACAUCUUAAGGCUUACAGUCCCAAUCCCAACUACUUUACAAACUGAAUUAUUUCCCAUCAGCACCAUACCCCCAUCACAGGACUGAUAUGUAGUAAAGUAAUUUCUAUUUGGACUCAUAUGAAAAGUACAUCCAGAGUCUAGUACCCACUGACCUUGAGUUUUUUCUUUUGUGGCAAUGAGGACUUCAGCUGUCUCAAAACUGGUUUCUUCUGUGGCUAUUGCUGCAUUUCCAGAUUUUUCUUUUGAUUCCUUUUGUUUUGUUUUUCUCUCAGGGCAAUCCCUCUUGAAAUGCCCUUCUUUGUGGCAGUGAAAACACUUCAAGUGUUUUUGCUUUGACUUUGAUCUUCCUUGCUUCUUUCCUUUGUAUUCUCUUUUUUCAGAUCUUCCCCUUGCCAUCAGCCCUUCACUUGAUUCACUCUCUGAGUUAUCUUGUUUGUCUUUUAACUUCUUGGUACCAAGAGCAGAUUUAACCUCUUCCAAGGAGAGUGAUUGCCUUCCAUAUAACAAGGCAUCCACAAAAUGUUCAUACGAUUUUGGUAAAGAACUGAUUAACAGCAAAGCCUUGCUCUCAUCACUCAGUCCUUCAUCAAUUGUUUCCAGUUCAUCACAAACUUUAUUAAACUCAUCUAUGUGUUCAUCAAGUGAUGCUCCUUCAAUCAUCCUCAGUGAGAACAUCUUUUUCUUGAUGUAUAGCCUGUUUGCUAAAGACUUUGUCAUAUACAAUUGUUCCAGUUUUGCCCAGAGCCCAGCAACAGUCUUUUCUUUUGCAACUUCCCUUAUCACUGAGUCACCAAGACUGAGGAUGAUAGUGCUUCUUGCCUUUUUGUCAAUCUCAGCCAUCUGUUCUGGAGUUCUUGAAGAAGAAGCUUCUGCAUUUUCACUCUUGAUGACUGGAUCAAUGGCAUCUCCCAGACCUUGUGUGAUUAACAAUGCUUCCAUCUUGAUCCUCCACAUAUUGAAGUCAUUCUGACCCGUGAACUUCUCAAGAUCCACCUUGUUUGUCAUUUCUUGAACCUUGAUACAGAAAAGAGGGCUCUGAUACCAAUUUGUUGUGAAUUUGGCUUUGUUACGACUAACCAAAUUCUCCCCAAGACACUAAUUUUGUAUCAAAUGGUUUGAGAAUUAACAGCACAGAUUAUCCAGUAACAAAUCACAUGCAAGAACCAAAGCAUUAAAGAAACAAAGUGACACCAAGUAUAAGUGGUUCAGCACCAAGAUGUGGUGCCUACAUCCACUGGAAACAAAGCAACAGUCUUUCACUAUUUAGUUCACAAAACAAUACAAGAAUAAGAAUUGAUUACAGAGAACAAGAACUUGUAAACCCCUUUCUCUCUCUAUCUUCUCUCUACUCUCUGUGUUUCCCAAUUCAUGUGUAGACGAUGACAGAGCCUGCACUUUUAACCUCUGUUUCUGGGUUGUUACAUUAACUACCCUUCCCGCCAAAACUAACCAAGAAGCUCCUCUCUCACGUGCUUGUCACAAGUUGGCAUAAGUGAGCUUGAAACGGCAAUCACAGAUGUCGUUCUUGAGCUAACGAGAUUCCAGCUUCACCACACGUGCAAACCACGUGUAUUACUUAAAGGUUGAAUGACCAAAGAGAGGAUGUCGGUUUUACUCUGAAGAACUCCUCAAGCGACAAGUCGGCUGAGACUAACUCCUCUAAACGACUUGUAGCACUUGAGUUUCGAGUUCACUGUUUAUCAGAUCCUCCAUUAGCUCAGUAUUUGAUAAGCUCAGUUGGAUCAGACUUGGGGGAAAUUGGUAUUCAGACAGGACCAUCCGUGACGGCUUGCUCUCAUUCACCAGCUUCAAGCAUUCAAGUUUGUGGAGUUCGCAAAGGCUUUUGGAAACCCCAGAUUGAUAGUAACUCAAAUCUCCAGAUAUCCGAAGAGUCCGAACACUAGGUAGUCUGAACAAUAUAUCAGGAGUACAACUACUAGGGUUUAAAGCAGAUGUGAAAAUGAGAUUUUUCAGAGAGCUAGAAUAAUUUUUUGGAGGUGCGGGCAAAGUGAUAGAACCAAAGUUUAGAUGCAUGAGUUUUUGCAUCAUCCAAAUAUCCUCUGGUGACUGAUCUAUGUGGCUAGAUGGCAUUUCUAGUGUUUCAAGGUUUAAAAGGGUGCAUAGCAGUGAAGGAAGGCAUUUGAGCGAAGGGAUAUUCAAUUUCAAAUACUUCAAAAGAUAUAAAUUUUCUAAUCCGGGUGGAAAUUGGUCGAGAACUGCAGAACCGAAGUUCAAUACCCGAAGGUGUUUGAACCUUUUAAAAAAAUUCUCGCAAUCUUUCGGAUUAAGAUGAUUGCUUUUUGAACUGUGAUUCAGAAAAGAUUGGAGAUACAUGUAAGAAUAUUCUAAAG